UGAUCAACAUAGAUAUGAAUUAUGAUCCGUCACUUAGUCAUGCAUUUGUUGGAAAGUAUAAAUUUAUGCAUUGUCAAGUCCCAAACAUUAUUUUGGAUUUUUUCAAAGAAUUUUGCAUGUUUUUGCAACUAUUUGUAUGGCCCAUUUGUAAAUGGGUUAGUGAUGUUUUAAAAAUAAUUGUAUAAAAAAAUGAAUUUGAAAUAAUUUUAUGAUUUGGGUGUUCUGUAUCUAAUUCUCCUUUUUCUGUAUUGUAAGCUCAUUAUCAGAUGGGGGAGCGAUGUUGUCCCAUUAGAAGUGCAGUCUCGGGAAAAAGUUAAAUUAAAGAAAUAAAGAGAAGAUAAAAGAGAAGUGUUACCCAGGACACCAAAAGCCCUCUCAACGCAGUUUCUUGUCUUAAUGUGACUGGCAUUGUACUUCUCCUGUUGUCCUGCUUGGGGCGUGAGGAAAGGAGUCAUUAGCCAUGGACGAAGGGGGUAGCCACUGUCCCCUAAGAGCCAUCCUCCACCUGGCAGCUGGUCCAUUAUCUCGGGAAUGCUCGAGUUUGCAAGUCAGCGGUCACGAUUCCCUGCAUGUUUAUGGCAUGAAACCCUUUCCUGCACACAAAAACAUGCUCAUCGUCUCCAGUCAUUCCCAUGAUUGGAAUCAGAGUUCCAUCAAUGGCACCAACUACGUUGGGGAAGUUUGCC
Long non-coding RNA from Magallana angulata, 686 nucleotides. RefSeq lists it as uncharacterized. The transcript is spliced from 3 exons. The record is from RefSeq and is a predicted model, not a curated record. Lineage: Eukaryota; Metazoa; Mollusca; Bivalvia; Ostreida; Ostreidae.